This is a non-coding RNA of Oryza barthii, 203 nucleotides long. The record is from Rfam. NCBI's taxonomy places the organism in Eukaryota, Viridiplantae, Streptophyta, Magnoliopsida, Poales, Poaceae.
AAUAAGCGUAGCUAUAAGUUUCUGUAUUCAACUUAGAUCAUCUGUCUUAUUUGAAACUUUUUUAUGAUUAUUAUUUUUUUUGUUAUUAGAUUGUAAAACGUGAAUAUUACUUUAUGCAUGACUUAUGUUAUUUUAGAUUUUCUAAAAAAAUAUAUAAGACGGAUGAUUAAAGUUGGACAGGAAAACUCAUGGUUGCGCUUAUU